This is an RNA transcript of Trematomus bernacchii (emerald rockcod), 2805 nucleotides long. RefSeq lists it as uncharacterized. The transcript has 3 exons. Lineage: Eukaryota; Metazoa; Chordata; Actinopteri; Perciformes; Nototheniidae. The record is from RefSeq and is a predicted model, not a curated record.
AUCAGUAUAGAUAAAUAUUACCUGAUGUGUUGAGGUACGCCAAACAAACUAAAUGUGCAGGCUGCAGGCGAGAUCUAGAGGACUGAACGGAUUCAUAUGAACUUUCAUGAUUCUAUGUUUUUUUAUUGAUCUUAAAACUACACAGAACAAAGCACAGAAUCAUUAGCUUCCUGUGGUAGAGGUUAUGUAUAAUGAAAUAGUUCAGUAUGGAUUCAGCAGUUUGUGUAAUGUCGCUCUCAGACAUUCAAACAGGUUUAUUAUUAAUGGGGAACUCGUAAAACCUAUAAUGAUGUUUAUUGUUUUGUAAGGAUAUUUUGUACUUUUUAAUUAAUGUAUUAUAAAAGUCAUACAUGUUGUACACAGGUGAAUGAAACAUGUGUAACUAACAUAUCCCCAUGAAAGCCACCAACUUCAUAACUGACAUUAACACAAUUAUUUUGUAUUACAGGUUAUGUUUAAAUAUGCUAAUAAGGCAUCAUUCAAUGCUAACUGUUGUUGUGCAAACACAAACCGAGUGAAAUGAACUCCUGGCUGCGAUCAGAGUCACGUUUUUCAGUAUUAUUAUGUAGUAGUUUCAUCCGAGAGAUUAGCUUUGGUUUAUAAUGGUGCACACAUUAGCACAGGAAGAGAAAUGAAGCUAAUAUAUCACUUUUUUUAGAAGAGAUUUCAAAAAUUAAUUAACAAAACAUGGAGCGCAAUAAGAAUAUGAAAUAUAAAACAUGCAUCUGGUUAAACAGGCUGAGCUGUGCGGGUUAAAGAAGCACAAAUGUGCGGAGAUGAUGGGGAUACAGAGGUGUUCAGGUUCACUCUGCAGAGAGGAUGGAGCUACAGAGGUGUUCAGGUUCACUCUGCAGAGAGGAUGGAGAUACAGAGGUGUUCAGGUUCACUCUGCGGAGAUGAUGGAGAUACAGAGGUGUUCAGGUUCACUGCAGAGAGGAUGGAGAUACAGAGGUGUUCAGGUUCACUCUGCAGAGAGGAUGGAGCUACAGAGGUGUUCAGGUUCACUCUGCAGAGAGGAUGGAGAUACAGAGGUGUUCAGGUUCACUCUGCGGAGAUGAUGGAGAUACAGAGGUGUUCAGGUUCACUGCAGAGAGGAUGGAGAUACAGAGGUGUUCAGGUUCACUCUGCAGAGAGGAUGGAGAUACAGAGGUGUUCAGGUUCACUCUGCGGAGAUGAUGGAGAUACAGAGGUGUUCAGGUUCACUCUGCAGAGAGGAUGGAGAUACAGAGGUGUUCAGGUUCACUGCAGAGAGGAUGGAGAUACAGAGGUGUUCAGGUUCACUCUGCAGAGAGGAUGGAGAUACAGAGGUGUUCAGGUUCACUCUGCAGAGAGGAUGGAGAUACAGAGGUGUUCAGGUUCACUCUGCAGAGAGGAUGGAGAUACAGAGGUGUUCAGGUUCACUCUGCAGAGAGGAUGGAGAUACAGAGGUGUUCAGGUUCACUCUGCAGAGAUGAUGGAGAUACAGAGGUGUUCAGGUUCACUCUGCAGAGAGGAUGGAGAUACAGAGGUGUUCAGGUUCACUCUGCAGAGAGGAUGGAGAUACAGAAGUGUUCAGGUUCACUCUGCAGAGAGGAUGGAGAUACAGAGGUGUACAGGUUCAUGGUGCAGAGAGGAUGGAGAUACAGAGGUGUUCAGGUUCACUGCAGAGAGGAUGGAGAUACAGAGGUGUUCAGGUACACUGCAGAGAGGAUGGAGAUACAGAGGUGUUCAGUUUCACUCUGCAGAGAGGAUGGAGAUACAGAAGUGUUCAGGUUCACUCUGCGGAGAUGAUGGAGAUACGGAGGUGUUCAGGUUCACUCUGCAGAGAGGAUGGAGAUACAGAGGUGUUCAGGUUCACUCUGCAGAGAGGAUGGAGAUACAGAGGUGUUCAGGUUCACUCUGCAGAGAGGAUGGAGAUACAGAUGUGUUCAGGUUCACUCUGCAGAGAGGAUGGAGAUACAGAGGUGUUCAGGUUCACUCUGCAGAGAGGAUGGAGAUACAGAGGUGUUCAGGUUCACUCUGCAGAGAUGAUGGAGAUACAGAGGUGUUCAGGUUCACUCUGCAGAGAGGAUGGAGAUACAGAGGUGUUCAGGUUCACUCUGCAGAGAUGAUGGAGAUACAGAGGUGUUCAGGUUCACUCUGCAGAGAGGAUGGAGAUACAGAGGUGUUCAGGUUCACUCUGCAGAGAGGAUGGAGAUACAGAGGUGUUCAGGUUCACUCUGCAGAGAGGAUGGAGAUACAGAGGUGUUCAGGUUCACUCUGCAGAGAGGAUGGAGAUACAGAGGUGUUCAGGUUCACUCUGCAGAGAGGAUGGAGAUACAGAGGUGUUCAGGUUCACUCUGCAGAGAGGAUGGAGAUACAGAGGUGUUCAGGUUCACUCUGCAGAGAGGAUGGAGAUACAGAGGUGUUCAGGUUCACUCUGCAGAGAUGAUGGAGAUACAGAGGUGUUCAGGUUCAUGGUGCAGAGAGGAUGGAGAUACAGAGGUGUUCAGGUUCACUCUGCGGAGAUGAUGGAGAUACAGAGGUGUUCAGGUUCACUCUGCGGAGAUGAUGGAGAUACAGAGGUGUUCAGGUUCACUCUGCAGAGAGGAUGGAGAUACAGAGGUGUUCAGGUUCACUCUGCAGAGAGGAUGGAGAUACAGAGGUGUUCAGGUUCACUCUGCAGAGAUGAUGGAGAUACAGAGGUGUUCAGGUUCACUCUGCGGAGAUGAUGGAGAUACAGAGGUGUUCAGGUUCACUCUGCAGAGAUGAUGGAGAUACAGAGGUGUUCAGGUUCACUCUGCAGAGAGGAUGGAGAUACAGAGGUGUUCAGGUUCACUCUGCAGA